RNAcentral lists this long non-coding RNA (1440 nucleotides) under Apteryx haastii (Great spotted kiwi). RNAcentral describes it as "lncRNA (ENSAHAG00000007105.1)". Lineage: Eukaryota; Metazoa; Chordata; Aves; Apterygiformes; Apterygidae. The record is from RNAcentral.
AACUCAGCCGAGCCCGGGUCUCUGCGCGGGCUGGGGGACUCUCAGGGCUCGCUGCCCCCGCCGCAGGUCGGACCUGCUUUCCAGCCCCCUAAAAACCCCGGGGCACAAGGGGAGGGUCCCCGGCCGUGCCCCGGCGAGGGGGCGCGCUGUCCCCCGACAUUUGGGACGGCGGCACCGGCUCGGCCCCCGGGGGAAACGCUCCCACCGCCCCACCGCGGGCGGCUGCAGGAGGGCAGCCCGGCUGGGCAGUUACUUUUAGUUUGCCCUUUAGCCUGGCUUGCGCCUCCCAGACUCUCUUUUUCCUUGCGAUCAGGCCCCAGCCACCCUGCCCCAGAGCAUCCCCCCCCUUUCGGGCUCUGCACCCACUCUGCGCCCGGCCAGGGGCUCGCCCAAAUUUGCAAGAGGGUUAGUUGCUCCUCGUCGUCCUGGGACGGCGCCGGCGGGCGAGCGGGCGGGGCAGAGCCGUGCCCGGCUCCCUGCCAGGCCGGGAGGUGCCGGGGGCGCCGGGGGUAUUUGGGGAAUAGCAAAUUGCCCCCGGCCAGCGGCUCGGGGGCGGGCGGAGGGGGGCGCCCGGCGGCCCCAGCGCCCCUCCCGGGCCCGGCGGGGCGGCGGGGAGAGCGGGGCUCCGUCCCUCCGGCAGUUUGUUUGCAAACGAAAAAGCGAGGGGGCAGCGGCGGAAAGGGCAUUGCGUUACCUGCCCGCUGGGGAGGGGGUUUCUCCUCCCCCCUGGCCCGCUUUUGGCCGUGUUUCUGGGGCAGCGGGUCUCCUGCGGCCCCGGGAGCCCUCGCAGGGGCUCGGGCUGCCCGGCGCCGGCGCACUUUCCGCGCCUCCCCUCCUCCCCGCGCCGCGGCCAGCCCCGCGCAGCCCCGCUGCCCUCCGGCCCCGAGGAAACGCCGCUUUCUCCGCUUUUUCCCUGCCCGUGACAGGCUCCGGGCGCUCCGGGGAGGUGCGCUCCGGCCGGCCGCCUCUGGCCCCCGCCGUGGGCGGCCGCUUGGGUCAUCUUUAUUUUUGGUGCCGCGAAGUUUUUCCCUCGCAGGGAGCUGGGUGCAAGGGGAGGACGGAGCGGGUGGUAGCUGCGAAACGACCUUCGAAGAUCAGCUUGUCUGCGGGGCUUCUCCCCAGCUCCCCAAUGCCCCCCGGCCCCCCGACGUCCCCUUCCCGGCGCAGCCGCGACCCGGCGGGCGCCCAGCUCGGGGCGGUUGUUUUCCAACGCGAGCAAGGACGAGCAGUGCCCGCCCGCCCGCGGCGAGCACCGAGGACACCUGUGGCCACCUACGGCUAUAUUUAUCCUGCAGCUUUGCAAGCGAGGGCUGGGAAAGGGACCUCAGACCCCGCCGCACCACUGCCUCCUCCAGGCUCCACGGCGGGUCCCACCGGGCUCUCUCCUCCUGCCAGCACUCGCAGCCCCAAACUUGGGGGUCUUCAAGACAAAAACGAUAG